RNAcentral lists this ribosomal RNA (468 nucleotides) under uncultured bacterium. RNAcentral's name for it is "partial 16S ribosomal RNA". It matches the Rfam family "Bacterial small subunit ribosomal RNA", at positions 28 to 507 of the family's 1533-position model. The record is from RNAcentral.
GACGAACGCUGGCGGCGUGCUUAACACAUGCAAGUCGAACGGAAAGGCCCUGCUUUUGUAGGGUGCUCGAGUGGCGAACGGGCGAGUAACACGUGAGUAACCUGCCCUUGACUUUGGGAUAACUUCAGGAAACUGGGGCUAAUACCGGAUAGGAGCUCCUGCUGCAUGGUGGGGGUUGGAAAGUUUCGGCGGUUGGGGAUGGACUCGCGGCUUAUCAGCUUGUUGGUGGGGUAGUGGCUUACCAAGGCUUUGACGGGUAGCCGGCCUGAGAGGGUGACCGGCCACAUUGGGACUGAGAUACGGCCCAGACUCCUACGGGAGGCAGCAGUGGGGAAUAUUGCACAAUGGGCGGAAGCCUGAUGCAGCAACGCCGCGUGCGGGAUGACGGCCUUCGGGUUGUAAACCGCUUUCGCCUGUGACGAAGCGUGAGUGACGGUAAUGGGUAAAGAAGCACCGGCUAACUACGUG